RNAcentral lists this ribosomal RNA (420 nucleotides) under uncultured bacterium. RNAcentral describes it as "bacterial SSU rRNA". It matches the Rfam family "Bacterial small subunit ribosomal RNA", at positions 8 to 442 of the family's 1533-position model. The record is from RNAcentral.
AGAGUUUGAUCCUGGCUCAGAAUCAACGCUGGCGGCGUGCCUAACACAUGCAAGUCGAACGAGAAAGUGGAGCAAUCCAUGAGUAAAGUGGCGCACGGGUGAGUAACACGUGACUAACCUACCCUUGAGUGGGGGAUAACCUAGGGAAACCUGGGCUAAUACCGCAUAAUACCUUCGGGUCAAAGGAGCAACUCGCUUAAGGAGGGGGUCGCGGCCGAUUAGUUAGUUGGCGGGGUAAUGGCCCACCAAGACUGUGAUCGGUAUCCGGCCUGAGAGGGCGCACGGACACACUGGAACUGAAACACGGUCCAGACUCCUACGGGAGGCAGCAGUGGGGAAUUUUGCGCAAUGGGGGAAACCCUGACGCAGCAACGCCGCGUGGAGGAUGAAGCCCCUUGGGGCGUAAACUCCUUCGAUCGG